UAAAACAUAUUCUAAUAUAUUUGCAAUUUUCUGUAAUGUAACCACAAAAAGUUUCUGUCCGUUGUGGCGCAAGACGAAAAUCGAUGGAAAACUGCACCAGGCAUAAAUUCUGCAAAAAAAGAAAUCGAGCCGGAGAAAUGGAUAAAUGGAUAAAUCAGGCAUUCGUGCAGGAGCGAAUGCAGCAUUUCUGUUGUUGACCCCAGAGACCUCCUCAUCUCGUUGGAUGGAGACGUCAUAGCAGGAAACUGUCGCACAUUAACACGCUGGCAAGGACAAAGGCAAUGGCGUCGGCGCCAUUAGUGUUUGACAAGGACAUUUCCCUCACACACAAUCAGACACACAUACAUAGCUACAUAGCUAGCUGAAUGGCAAGCGCAAUAUGAAGAACAGUCCGCCUUCCCAUGCCAACAUUCAUGGUGGUCAAGUUGAAGGAUAUACUGUUGGUGCCAGGAUGGAUGAAUGCUUUUGCGACGCCUGCAAGCAUAAAUCACCCGCCCGGACACGGACACGGAUCUGAAUCCGGAACCCCCUCAACCUUAAACCUCCUCCCUAACCACCAAAAACCCCACUCUCCUUAGCCCCCAUAUAGCCUCAGCUGCGUGGGUCAGUCCAAUAAUUAGUUUUAGCAAUUCAAUUCGUUACUCUGAAUGAAGUUUGCCUUGCGGAUGGCAUCACAUGCUAAUGGCUCUUGUUGACAAUCUUAAGUGCUGCCCAGUGUCCCCAGAGUGCGAUAAUUUAGUGUUUACGACUUCAUUUAAAUGGCACUGUA
This is a long non-coding RNA of Drosophila elegans, 769 nucleotides long. RefSeq lists it as uncharacterized. Lineage: Eukaryota; Metazoa; Arthropoda; Insecta; Diptera; Drosophilidae. The transcript is spliced from 3 exons. The record is from RefSeq and is a predicted model, not a curated record.